This 388-nucleotide ribosomal RNA is filed under the name uncultured bacterium. RNAcentral describes it as "bacterial SSU rRNA". It matches the Rfam family "Bacterial small subunit ribosomal RNA", at positions 27 to 416 of the family's 1533-position model. The record is from RNAcentral.
GGACGAACGCUGGCGGCGUGCUUAACACAUGCAAGUCGAGCGGUAAGGCCCUUUCGGGGGUACGACGAGCGGCGAACGGGUGAGUAACACGUGGGUGACCUGCCCUCAGCUCUGGGAUAAGCCUGGGAAACCGGGUCUAAUACCGGAUAUGACUCCAUGACGCAUGUUGUGGGGUGGAAAGCCUUGUGCGGCUGAGGAUGGGCCCGCGGCCUAUCAGCUUGUUGGUGGGGUGAGGCCUACCAAGGCGACGACGGGUAGCCGGCCUGAGAGGGCGACCGGCCACACUGGGACUGAGACACGGCCCAGACUCCUACGGGAGGCAGCAGUGGGGAAUCUUGCGCAAUGGGCGAAAGCCUGACGCAGCGACGCCGCGUGAGGGAUGACGGCC